This 1528-nucleotide ribosomal RNA is filed under the name Klebsiella pneumoniae. Its description in RNAcentral is "bacterial SSU rRNA". It matches the Rfam family "Bacterial small subunit ribosomal RNA". The record is from RNAcentral. Lineage: Bacteria; Pseudomonadati; Pseudomonadota; Gammaproteobacteria; Enterobacterales; Enterobacteriaceae.
AGAGUUUGAUCAUGGCUCAGAUUGAACGCUGGCGGCAGGCCUAACACAUGCAAGUCGAGCGGUAGCACAGAGAGCUUGCUCUCGGGUGACGAGCGGCGGACGGGUGAGUAAUGUCUGGGAAACUGCCUGAUGGAGGGGGAUAACUACUGGAAACGGUAGCUAAUACCGCAUAAUGUCGCAAGACCAAAGUGGGGGACCUUCGGGCCUCAUGCCAUCAGAUGUGCCCAGAUGGGAUUAGCUAGUAGGUGGGGUAACGGCUCACCUAGGCGACGAUCCCUAGCUGGUCUGAGAGGAUGACCAGCCACACUGGAACUGAGACACGGUCCAGACUCCUACGGGAGGCAGCAGUGGGGAAUAUUGCACAAUGGGCGCAAGCCUGAUGCAGCCAUGCCGCGUGUGUGAAGAAGGCCUUCGGGUUGUAAAGCACUUUCAGCGGGGAGGAAGGCGGUGAGGUUAAUAACCUCAUCGAUUGACGUUACCCGCAGAAGAAGCACCGGCUAACUCCGUGCCAGCAGCCGCGGUAAUACGGAGGGUGCAAGCGUUAAUCGGAAUUACUGGGCGUAAAGCGCACGCAGGCGGUCUGUCAAGUCGGAUGUGAAAUCCCCGGGCUCAACCUGGGAACUGCAUUCGAAACUGGCAGGCUAGAGUCUUGUAGAGGGGGGUAGAAUUCCAGGUGUAGCGGUGAAAUGCGUAGAGAUCUGGAGGAAUACCGGUGGCGAAGGCGGCCCCCUGGACAAAGACUGACGCUCAGGUGCGAAAGCGUGGGGAGCAAACAGGAUUAGAUACCCUGGUAGUCCACGCCGUAAACGAUGUCGAUUUGGAGGUUGUGCCCUUGAGGCGUGGCUUCCGGAGCUAACGCGUUAAAUCGACCGCCUGGGGAGUACGGCCGCAAGGUUAAAACUCAAAUGAAUUGACGGGGGCCCGCACAAGCGGUGGAGCAUGUGGUUUAAUUCGAUGCAACGCGAAGAACCUUACCUGGUCUUGACAUCCACAGAACUUACCAGAGAUGCAUUGGUGCCUUCGGGAACUGUGAGACAGGUGCUGCAUGGCUGUCGUCAGCUCGUGUUGUGAAAUGUUGGGUUAAGUCCCGCAACGAGCGCAACCCUUAUCCUUUGUUGCCAGCGGUCCGGCCGGGAACUCAAAGGAGACUGCCAGUGAUAAACUGGAGGAAGGUGGGGAUGACGUCAAGUCAUCAUGGCCCUUACGACCAGGGCUACACACGUGCUACAAUGGCAUAUACAAAGAGAAGCGACCUCGCGAGAGCAAGCGGACCUCAUAAAGUAUGUCGUAGUCCGGAUUGGAGUCUGCAACUCGACUCCAUGAAGUCGGAAUCGCUAGUAAUCGUAGAUCAGAAUGCUACGGUGAAUACGUUCCCGGGCCUUGUACACACCGCCCGUCACACCAUGGGAGUGGGUUGCAAAAGAAGUAGGUAGCUUAACCUUCGGGAGGGCGCUUACCACUUUGUGAUUCAUGACUGGGGUGAAGUCGUAACAAGGUAACCGUAGGGGAACCUGCGGUUGGAUCACCU